Molecule: non-coding RNA, 247 nt
Organism: Chthoniobacter flavus Ellin428
Lineage: Bacteria; Pseudomonadati; Verrucomicrobiota; Spartobacteria; Chthoniobacterales; Chthoniobacteraceae
Source: Rfam
AAAGUCCCGUCGGUGCAAUUAGACGGUUCAGCACCGCAGACCGUGCCAACUGCGUCGCCGCGAGGCGGGGUGGGGAGCAGGCAUGGAGUCGAACCGGCAGGUCGCAAUGAACACAUGAACCACAUAAAUGAGCCUCGAAAAAGUACUCCCGGCAGCCGAGCCCCUCAAUUGUGGGCGAAGGCCGCAGAACUGGAACCCGGACCAACCGUCGAGGGUUCUGGCAAUGGACCGGCGGGGUCUGCGUGGG